Molecule: ribosomal RNA, 581 nt
Filed under: uncultured bacterium
Lineage: Bacteria
Description: bacterial SSU rRNA
Rfam family: Bacterial small subunit ribosomal RNA
Source: RNAcentral
ACGGGUGAGUAAUGUCUGGGAAACUGCCUGAUGGAGGGGGAUAACUACUGGAAACGGUAGCUAAUACCGCAUGACCUCGCAAGAGCAAAGUGGGGGACCUUCGGGCCUCACGCCAUCGGAUGUGCCCAGAUGGGAUUAGCUAGUAGGUGGGGUAAUGGCUCACCUAGGCGACGAUCCCUAGCUGGUCUGAGAGGAUGACCAGCCACACUGGAUCUGAGACACGGUCCAGACUCCUACGGGAGGCAGCAGUGGGGAAUAUUGCACAAUGGGCGCAAGCCUGAUGCAGCCAUGCCGCGUGUGUGAAGAAGGCCUUAGGGUUGUAAAGCACUUUCAGCGAGGAGGAAGGGUUCAGUGUUAAUAGCACUGUACAUUGACGUUACUCGCAGAAGAAGCACCGGCUAACUCCGUGCCAGCAGCCGCGGUAAUACGGAGGGUGCAAGCGUUAACCGGAAUCACUGGGCGUAAAGCGCACGCAGGCGGUUUGUUAAGUCAGAUGUGAAAUCCCCGAGCUUAACUUGGGAACUGCAUUUGAAACUGGCAAGCUAGAGUCUUGUAGAGGGGGGUAGAAUUCCAGGUGUAGC